CACCCCGAUAUACCCUUUACCCUUCUGUAGAGCUUGUAAUAUCUACAGACCUUGCUACGGUGGAUCCUGUAUGAGGCGUCUUAGGAGUUGAGAGACUGUUCGAGGGUCUUCUAGGCUGGACUCACGCGAGAGCGGAUUAUCAAGCUUCGUUUCUUAUAAUGCAAUAUAGAAGACAGGGAUAGCAGGUGCAAUAUAUACAUAUUAGACUAUGUCGAAAGUUUCAGGCUAUUCUGGACAAUUCGUACAGUUUAACAAGAUCUCAAUUCUGAUGUUAAGUCGUUUCAAAGAAACGUGGUUGAGUCAGCCUCACAAUUGUGCAACUUGGAUGAACGAAUAGGCCGGUUCUUUUGUUUUUGGGUUCGUUUAUUUACGAAUUGUAUUUUUAAAUGGUAAAGCUCGAUUCUGAAGAAGGUGACGCUGAAGAAAUAGAAUUUCUUAUGGGACGUUAG
Molecule: unclassified non-coding RNA, 449 nt
Filed under: Bombus terrestris (buff-tailed bumblebee)
Lineage: Eukaryota; Metazoa; Arthropoda; Insecta; Hymenoptera; Apidae
Description: misc RNA ENSBTSG00005023046.1
Source: RNAcentral